AUACGAGAGUCAGCAGUAGCGACUCUUCUUCAAUGCCGAAAACGUGACGGAGCAACUCCGCGCGAGUGAUGAAGAUCUUCGGAUCGUAAAACUUGUUGUUAGGGAAGAACAAAAACCUCAGUAUCUGAACAAGUCUCGACUGUACCUCACCAGAAAGCCAGUGUCUACCUAGGUGCCAGCAGCCGCGGUAAUAGGUAGGAGGCCAGCGUUAUCAGGAAUUAUGGGGGGUAAAGCGCGCACAGUCGGCUUUUUUAGUUUGAUGCGAAAGCCCACGGCUCAACCGAGCAGGGUCAUCGACACGCUGAAACCCGAGUGCAGAAGUGGAGAGUCGAAUUCCAUGUGUAGCCGUGAAAUUUCCAGAGAUUUUGAGGAACACCAGUGGCGAAGCAGGCUAUUUCGUUUGUAUCUUACGCUGACGAGUGAAAGCGUGGGCAUCAAACAGGCUCGGAUGCCCUGGUAGUCCACGCCUCAAACGAAGAGUGCUAAGUGUUAGGGGGUUUCCGCCCAUAAUUGCGGCAGACAACGCACUCAGCACUCCGCCCGGGGAGUACGACCGCAAGGUUGAAACUCAAAUGAAUUGACGGGGACCCGCGCAAGCGGCGGAGCAUGUGGUAUAAGUUCAAGCAACAAGAAGAACCUUACCAUAUCAAGACAUCCUUCACCGCUC
This 667-nucleotide ribosomal RNA is filed under the name Staphylococcus sp. CVD104C. RNAcentral describes it as "bacterial SSU rRNA". It matches the Rfam family "Bacterial small subunit ribosomal RNA", at positions 339 to 999 of the family's 1533-position model. Lineage: Bacteria; Bacillati; Bacillota; Bacilli; Caryophanales; Staphylococcaceae. The record is from RNAcentral.